Homo sapiens (human) is the source of this 7292-nucleotide long non-coding RNA. RefSeq annotates it as LRFN5 divergent transcript. Lineage: Eukaryota; Metazoa; Chordata; Mammalia; Primates; Hominidae. The transcript has 2 exons. The record is from RefSeq and is a predicted model, not a curated record.
GCAGGUGUGUUACAUAGGUAAACUUAUGUCAUGGGGGUUUGUUUUACAGACUAUUUCAUCACCCAGGCAUUAAGCCUACUACCCUUUAGUUAUUUUUCCUGAACUUCUCCCUCCUCCUACCCUCCUCUCUCUGAUGGGCCCAGGUGUGUGUAGUUCCCCUUUAUGUGUCCAUGUGUUCUCAUCAUUUAGCUCCCACUUAUAAAUGAGAACAUGCAGUAUUUGGUUUUCUGUUCUUGCAUUAGUUUACUAAGGAUAAUGGCCUCCAGCUCCAUCCAUGUCCCAGCAAAAGACAUGAUCUCAUUUUUUUAUGGCUAUGUACCAUUCCAUACUAUAUAUGUACCACAUUUUCUUCAUCCAAUCUACUGUUGGUGGACAUUUAGGUUGAUUCCAUGCCUUUGUUAUUGUGAAUAGUGCUGCAAUAAACAUACACAUGCAUGUGUCUUCAUAACAGAAUGAUUUAUAUUCCUUUGGGUAUAUACCCAAUAAUGGGAUUGCUGGAUCAAAUGAUAUUUCUGUCUUUAGGUCUUUGAGGAAUUGCUGCACUGUCUUCCACAAUGUACUAAUUUACACUCCCACCAGUAGUGUGUAAGCAUUCCUUUUCUUCCACAACAUCAACAGCAUCUUUUUCUUUUUUCUUUUUGGACUCUUUAAUAAUAACCAUUCUGACUGAUGUGAGAUGGUAUCAUUGUGGUUUUGAUUUGUAUUUCUCCAAUGAUGAAUAAUAUUGGGCUUUUUAAUCAUAUGAUUGUGGGCCACAUGUAUAUCUUCUCUUGAAAAGUGUCUGUUCAUGUCCUUUGCUCAUGUUCUGAUGAGAUUCCUUAUUUUUUUCUUGUAAAUUUGUUUAAGUUCCUUAAAGAUGCUGAAUAUUAGACCUUUGUCAGAUGCAUAGUUUGCAAAAAUUUUCUCCCAUUCUGUAGGUUGUCUGUUUACUCUGUUGAUAGUUUCUUUGUACUGUGCAGAAGCUCUGUAAUUUAAUAAGAUCCCAUUUGUCAAUUUUUACUUCUAUUGCAAUUGCUGUUGGCAUCUUCAUCAUAAAGUCUUUGCACAUGCCUAUGUCCUGAAUAGUAUUGCUUAGCUUGUCUUCCAGGGUUUUUAUAGUUUUGGGUUUUACGGUUAAGUAAUCCCUCUUGAGUUAAUUUUUGCAUACAGUAUAAGGAAGGAGUUCAGUUUCAAUCUUCUGCAUAUGGCUAGCCAGUUAUCCCAGCACUGUUUAUCUAAUAGGGAAUCCUUUCCUCAUUGCUUGUUUUUGUCAGGUUUGUUGAAGAUCAGAUAGUUGUAGCAUGCAGCCUUAUUUUUGGGGUCUCCAUUCUGUUCCAUUGGUCUAUGUGUCCUUCUGUACCAGUACCAUGGUAUUUUGUUUACUGUAGCCUUGGACUACAGCUUGAAGUUGAGUAGCAUGAUGUCUCCAGCUUGUUAUUUUUGCUUAGAACUGCCUUGGCUAUUCAGGCUCUUUUUUGAUUCCAUAUGAAUUUUAAAAUAAUAUUUUCUAGUUCUUUGAAAAAUCCCAAUGGUAGUUUAAUAGGAACAGCACUGAAUCUAUACAUUUCUUUUAACAAUAUUGAUUCUUCCUACUCAAUAGCAUGAAGUGUUUUUCCAUUUGUUUGUGUCAUCUCUGAUUGCUCUGAGCAGUGUUUUGUAGUUCUCCUUGUAGAGGUCUUUCACCUUCCCUAGUUAGCUAUAUUCCUAGGUGUUUUAUUCUUUUUGUAGCAAUUGUGAAUGGGAGUACGCUCCUGAUUUGGCUCUCAGCUUUACUGUUGGUGUAUAGGAAUGCUAGUGAUUUUUGCUUAUUGAUUUUGUAUCUUGAGACUUUGUCGAGAUUGUUUAUCAGCUUAAGAAGCUAUUGGGCUGAGGCUAUGGGGUUUUGUAGAUAUAGGAUCAUGGCGUCUGCAAAAAGAGAUAGUUUGAUUUCCUAUUUGGAUGCCCUUUAUUUCUUUCUUUUGCCUGAUUGCCCUGGUCAGGAAUUCCAAAACUAUGUUGGUUUUUUUGUUUUGUUUUGUUUUGUUUUACUUUUUAACAUUUAUUUUAAGUUCAGGGGACAUGUGCAGGUUUGUUACAUAGGUAAACUUGUCAUGGGGGUUUGUUGUACAGAUUAUUUCAUCACCCAAGUAUUAAGCUUGGUACUCCUUAGUUAUUUUUCCUGAUCCUCUGAUACUGAUCCUCCUCCCACUUUCUACCCUCCAAAAGGCCCUAGUGUGUGUUGUUCCCCUCUGUGUGUCCAUAUGUUCUUAUUAUUUAGCUGAUAGGCUGGAUAAAGAAAAUGUGGUAUUUCCUCAAUACUAUGUUGAAUAGGGAUGGUGAGAGAGGGCAUUCUUGUCUUGUUCCAGUUUUCAAGAAGAAUGCUUCAAGCUUUUGCCCAUUUAUUGUCAUAUGAUAUUGGCUGUGGGUUUUUAUUUAUUUAUGGUUCUUAUCAUUUUGAGGCCUGGUUCUAGACGUAGAGUGAUUUGCAUACUUUACCAAGGAGUUUUACCUCAUCUGAUAAUCAGCAGGGAGCUAGUAAAUGGUUUCAUGCAGAAUAAUAAAUAUAGGUUUCUAUUUUAGAAGGAAUAAUCCUGCAGCAAUAUGGAAGAUGGAGGUAUGGCUAAGGAUGAAUGAAAAAAAAAAAAGACUUCCUAAAGGAAAAUCAAAGUAGUUUCAGCAGCAAAUAAAAGGCAAAGAAACAUAUAUUGGGGAAAGGAUACUGUAUUCAGUAAAUUGUGCUGGAAAAAGUGGUAAGCCACAUGUAGAAGAAUGAAACUGGAUCCCCAGCUCUCACCUAAUACAAAAAUCGACUCAAGAUGCAUCAAAGACUUAAAUAUAAAACCUGAAACCUUGAAAAUUCUAGAAGAUAACACCAGAAAAACUCUUCUAAAUGUUGGCUUACGCAAAGAAUUCAUGACUAAGACACCAAAAGAAAAUGCAACAAAAACAAAAAUAAAUAAAUGGGACUCAAUUAAACUGAAAAGAUUUUGCACACCAAAUAAAUAAUCAGAAGAAUAAACAGAAAACCCACAGAAUGGAAGAAAAUAUUCACCAACUAUGCAUCUGACAAAGGACUAGUAUCCAGAAUUUACAAGGAACUCAAACAAAUAAAUGAAUUCAAAUAUCCCAUUAAAAAGUGUGCAAAGGACAUGAAUAGACAAUUGUCAAAAGAAGAUAUACAAACAGCCAAUAAACAUAAAAAAAAAUACAGCAUCGCUAGUCACCAGGGAAAUGCAAAUUAAAACCACAGUGAGAUUCCACCUUACUCCCGCAAGAAUGUCCACAAUUAAAAAGUCAGAAAACAAUAGAUGUUGGCAUGGAUUUGGUGAAAAUCACAUCAGUGAAUACAGAUUUGGGAAGAAAUGUGCAUAACUGGUUUCAGCUAGCCAACACGCUGGUCCCAGUAUACCACUGGCUACGGCAUUCUAAAAGUGUCCUCAUAUGUAUCUAUUAAAUAUUCAAGAACUUUGACCAAUAUAUUCUCUGCCAAAUGCUCUCAAGAAAUCUUGGUGGAGAUGGUGUCGGGGUAAGGUGGGGGUUUUUCCGAAAUGGAAUCAUGUUAAUGUGGACUUAAUGUUAAAAUAUGAAUUUUCAAAAAAAUUUGCUUUACUUUCAGUAGGCUAAAUACCUACAUAGUAAAAUUUAAAAAAAUCUGUAAUUCUCUCUUAAUUUAUUCAUUAUACUAUUAUAUGUGGUAGGCAUUUUUUUCCUGGCUCUCAUAUCAUUUGUGUUUGUUUUAUACUAAUGAAAUACAGAAAAACUCUGUAGUAUAUAGAGCCCAAUGGAACUUUUAAGAGUGAGAAUUUUAAUUUGUAUAUUAUGGAAAAGUCAUCUCAGAAAUAUUAGUUUAUAAAUAUGCAGAUACAAUUUCUAGAAUGUCAAAAAAUAAUCCUUUCACCUGAGUUGUCUUAAGUAAAUAACUUUUAGGAUUUUUAAUUGGAUUAUUUAUGUAAUCAUUAUAAAGGAGAUCUGAGGUAAAUUGCUUAAGCAUUUUCUUUAGCUUUUUGCAAGACUAAAAAUGGAGAAUAAAUAUUUGCUCAAAUAUCGAGUCAAACUAAUUUUGAAGAGAAAUCUCUAAAUACUUUAUUAAAUGACCAAAAUAUAAGAAAAUGUUUAAAAAGACUGCAAAUAGAAACACAUCAGUUUAAAGCACACAAAGAGAUAAGUGGAAAAAGUAUUUUCUCAGAACAUGCUAAAAAAAACUUAGAAUAUCCAGGAUACUGCAUUUAUUCAUCCUUACAACAUGAAUUUUAAAUAUCUUAGCGACUGUGCUAUCAUUUUCAGUGUUCUGUAUGAAUUCUUACCUUCUCAGAAGAUUAUGUAGAUAUAACAGAUACUUCUGGAAUAUAUAUCCAUGAUAAGAUUUGUCUUUUUACAGGAGAAAAGAAAAUAUAUCAAGUCCAACAGAACUUAAGAAAAUACAAUUUAAUUAACUUUAUAUGAUAUAGGCCUUGUUAAUAUUAUAUAUCAAAAAAGAAUUCUAGUUUAUAUUCUUUUGUCUGUAAGAUGGGGGAGCUGUUGCAUUAUAAAAAAUACUGGUCAGUUCCAUUCCUCUAAGCAUUUUCUUUUGAUUAAAAUCAUUUGUAGUAAAAAUGAUGACCCAAACCUUUGUAAAUGAUAUUUUAGCUGGGUUAUAAUCUAAUGAAAUUGUGAUUUUAAAAGUGCUUCAAUUACUACAACUAUAAAAUCUUGGUUUACUAGGAAUAUGUAUAAGGUGAAGUAUCCAUUAUUUCUUUAACAUCAGUAUAUAUUGUUUAACAUUCUGCUUUUGGGCUAAGACUUCCUAGGCUUUACAGAAGAGAAGUUGUUUAUCUGAACAGUGUAAAAAUAUGUGUGUGUGUGUGUGUGUGUGUGUGUGUGUAUGUGUAUAAAAAUAUAUGUUCUGUUGUUAUUUAGUUAUGUCUUCCCUGAAAACACUGAUAGAUCCAACAAGUCUCUUGAUUCCUCUUAAAGAUAAGCAAGAAGAAGAAUAAAGUAUGUCACACUUAAACUUGAGUAAAUCCAAGUUGGAAAAACAGAAGCAGAUUUUUUUUUAAUCCUACAGGAUGAAUGUUGAGAGAGACAAAAAUAUUAACACCACAUAAAUUAUAACCUAGAGAAAUUCUAAACCAGGUUGAAAACCUACGCAUAAGCAGUCAAUAAUUAUCUUACACUUAUGCAAUACAAUUUUUUAUUACAGAAAGAACUUUAGUAAUUACCUCAUGCUGUAUAUAUGGGAAAGGAGAUAAGGAAGAAAAACUCUUUAUAGUAUGCAAUUAGUUAUCUCCUGCCUUAUCUUGGUAUUUGUAGAAACACUUGGAAGUAGGAAAAGUGAACAUUUGUAUCCCUGUUCUAUAGUUUAAAAAAUUGACACACAUAAGUUAUUUUUAAUUUAUCCAGUUAAUCACCAGUAAUCAUGAUGCUUUAUGAAUGACAAUUCUUUUAUAUUUAUUCAAAAAUAUGGGGAAAAUAAAUGACAUCUGCCUAUAUAACUUAAAAUUCUUGAAGAAAAUGUGUAUAGGAAUAACUUGGUAUGAAAUGUUAUAGAAAUGUUAGUUCUUUGUCUCUUAUAGUUACAGUAAGUGGCUAAUCAUCAUGUCUACGUUUAUGUAUAAUUUAUUUACAUUUUAAAAUGUUCUAACCUUGAAUACAUAGGGAACAAAUAUCUGAUGAUAGGUGUUUGCAAGGCAGCAUCAGUGAUUUUUCUUGAUAUUUUAUCUGAAAUAUCUGAGUAUCUACUAGGAAUCUAACAUGGAAAGGUAAUUACAUAUGAUGUUGGAAGCAAAUUUGUAUACACCCUAUUUAUGGCCAAGCAAAACAGUGUAAUGUGUCUGAGCAUGUAUGUGUUCCUUUCACCAGUUUUCUUGUGGUAGAAUUUAUAAAACUGCAUAUAUUCACAAUGUACAAUGUGAUGGUUUGACGUAUAUAUACAUUGUGAAAUAAUUACCACAAUCAAGUCAAUGAACACAUUCAUCACCUCAGCGUUUUCUAAAAUUACAUUUAUCAAACUGUAUUUGAAAGUAAAUGUGUUUUCUCAUUGUUAACCACGACUUUAAAACUUUAUUACAGAUUAAUGUUAAGAAAGCUACUGAAAUUAAUUUUAGUAAUAAAACAUCUGAAUAUACACCAUGAAAUGUAUAAAUGUAUGUGCUGAUUUUAGGAGUACAACUAAAUAAGUAAUGCAAACUUACUUGCAGGAUCAUCACUUUAACUCUGUCUCUCUCUCUCUCUCUCUCUUUAUAUAUAUGUCUCUCUCAUAUAUAUGAUAUAUCUUAUACAUCUAACUAUAUAUAUGUAGAGGAAGAAAGAGACACUAUAGAGUAAUACAACCUUUCCAUUAACUGCAUAUAAAGUCAGCCUUAUAAUAAUGCCCCUGGAUUAUCUGACCCUUUAAUAAAAUGUUAUACAUAUUUAGAGACUUGGAUUGUGCCUGUUUUUACUAACAGUUGUUAUUUAAAAUAUUAUUAGUAAGUUAAUUCAUAUAAACCAUGCAGAGAAGCUGUAUAACUGUGCAUAUAAAUAGUGAAGAGAAACUGAUCUGGCAUUCAGGGAUGUUGAGAUUAUUCCAACUCCGCUGCCAAUUGGCUGUGUGUCUUUGGAGAGGUCACAUAAUAUCUCCGAGCUAUAGUUUCCUUAUCAGUAACAUAGACUAGAUGAUUUUUAAAAUUUCACUCAGCACAUAAUUUGAUCUCUAACUUAAAAGAGCUGGAAUAAAAAUCACCACUAAAAAUUAUUAGCGUUACUAUGGUUGUACUUUGUUUUUAUACAUUACAGGCAUUAAAAACUACCUAGAGUUAAUUAGUAUUCGACAAAAUUAUUUCUUACAAAUCUUACGCUAUUCUGUAACGCAUGGGUCUAAUAUGUAUUUAAUGUAGCUUUCGUACAACUGCAAAAACUUCAAAGCAUAUCUGAACUUGUGGGUUUUGUAAGACUUGAACGCUAUAAAUGAAAGUAAUGGAAAUUUUAUUAUAUUCUAUUAUCGAUUGUGUGAUUAGAGUUGUUGAGUGGUAACUCAGUGUCUCAUGUGUGUGAAAGAGAGAGAAAUGAUGACAGUUGUAAAAGCCUAAGAUACACAAGACAGAAUAGUGGUUAGGAUCAUAAGCUUGGAAAUUAGAACCGAUAUUUUACUUCCAGUGUCUGCCACAUCUCAGUGGUAUGACUUUGGGAAAGUAGUUUAAUUUCUCUGAGUUACUUCAUCUGUAGUAUGCAGAUUACAAUAGCCACCGCACAGUGGGUAUAAAGAUGAGUAAGGUUAUAUUUUUGAACACGUAGAAGAGUAUCUGACAUACAAUAAGUGUGUACCGUUAAAGUAUACUUAAACAAAAUUUAAUAUUAAUAAAAGCUAUAUAUAGGUA